UUCCUGUACUUGUGCUAUAAGACCUACCUACCUACCAAAUUUCAUGAUUCUAGGUUAACCGGAAGUACCCUCUAGGUUUUCGUGACCGAUACGACAGACGGACAGUCGGAC
Long non-coding RNA from Maniola jurtina (meadow brown), 111 nucleotides. RefSeq lists it as uncharacterized. The record is from RefSeq and is a predicted model, not a curated record. Lineage: Eukaryota; Metazoa; Arthropoda; Insecta; Lepidoptera; Nymphalidae. The transcript has 2 exons.